The sequence is a regulatory RNA element, 107 nucleotides long. It matches the Rfam family "Alpha operon ribosome binding site". Rfam says of the family: The bacterial alpha operon ribosome binding site is surrounded by this complex pseudoknotted structure. Translation of the mRNA produces 4 ribosomal protein products, one of which (S4) acts as a translational repressor by binding to the nested pseudoknot region. The record is from Rfam.
GGUGUAACGCUAGACUCUCCCGCCUUUCGGCGCCAGAGACUGGCGAUACCGCUUUGUGAAUCGGAGAUAUUCGGAUGGCCCGUAUUGCAGGCGUAAACAUCCCGGAC